CUCCAAAACUUCAGUAUUGCUAGGAUGCCGAAAGUCCACAUUAUGAGACGAUGCCCAAGUUUGGAACACAUCCCAGAUCCUAUGGUAGCAUGAAGUAGAAGCCUUCCUGGAGAGCAGAAGGGUAAUGAUCACCGCCUCCGCGAGACCUAGUAAUUGGAGUCUUUCUUUCUCAAGACCCAUACCCCAAGUUUGAGGCAUUCCGGAUGAGGAUGGAAUACAGGGC
Pelobates cultripes (western spadefoot toad) is the source of this 223-nucleotide non-coding RNA. Lineage: Eukaryota; Metazoa; Chordata; Amphibia; Anura; Pelobatidae. The record is from the annotation of a GenBank genome assembly.